AAUACAACUAGCAACUUUCUCUUCUCAAAAACAAUGGAGUUUCUCAUUUUCCUUUACAAGUGUGGCUUUUAAAGAGCUCAACAUAUUCGUUGCUGUAAACCAUGGAAUAUAUCUCUGAUCCAGAAUGAACCUAGAGCUCAACAUAUUCGUUGCCGUUGGCAUCUCCUGUGCCAGCACACCGGAGAUCGCCCCGUGUAAGAUGAGGCGGGUUGCUAGUUGUUGUAUGCUUAUCAUAUGAUAUUACCUUAAUAUUCAUCUGUAAAUUUCCCACUUAGGAUCACAUUUUCGUGUUUGUAUUGUUGGUGGAUUGUGGCUUAUGAGUGAAAUCUAAUAUCUGUAUUAUUUUUUUGGGAGGGAAAUUCAAUAUGAAUUGAAUC
Salvia hispanica is the source of this 377-nucleotide non-coding RNA. NCBI's taxonomy places the organism in Eukaryota, Viridiplantae, Streptophyta, Magnoliopsida, Lamiales, Lamiaceae. The record is from RefSeq and is a predicted model, not a curated record.